Molecule: ribosomal RNA, 253 nt
Filed under: uncultured bacterium
Lineage: Bacteria
Description: partial 16S ribosomal RNA
Rfam family: Bacterial small subunit ribosomal RNA
Source: RNAcentral
UACGGAGGGUGCAAGCGUUAUCCGGAUUUACUGGGUUUAAAGGGUGCGUAGGUGGGUUGGUAAGUCAGUGGUGAAAUACUUUCGCUUAACGAAGGAACUGCCAUUGAUACUACCAGUCUUGAAUACAGUGGAGGUAGGCGGAAUGCGUCAUGUAGCGGUGAAAUGCUUAGAUAUGACGCAGAACACCAAUUGCGAAGGAAGCUUGCUACACUGUUAUUGACACUGAGGCACGAAAGCGUGGGGAUCAAACAGG